This 492-nucleotide ribosomal RNA is filed under the name uncultured bacterium. Its description in RNAcentral is "partial 16S ribosomal RNA". It matches the Rfam family "Bacterial small subunit ribosomal RNA", at positions 29 to 507 of the family's 1533-position model. The record is from RNAcentral.
AGUGAACGCUGGCGGUAGGCCUAACACAUGCAAGUCGAACGGCAGCACAGUAAGAGCUUGCUCUUACGGGUGGCGAGUGGCGGACGGGUGAGGAAUACAUCGGAAUCUACUUUUUCGGGGGGGAUAACGUAGGGAAACUUACGCUAAUACAGCAUACGACCUACGGGUGAAAGCAGGGGAUCUUCGGACCUUGCGCGAUUGAAUGAGCCGAUGUCGGAUUAGCUAGUUGGCGGGGUAAAGGCCCACCAAGGCGACGAUCCGUAGCUGGUCUGGGAGGAUGGUACGCCACACUGGAGCUGAGACACGGUCCAGACUCCUACGGGAGGCAGCAGUGGGGAAUAUUGGACAAUGGUCGCAAGCCUUAUCCAGCCAUACCGCGUGUGUGAAGAAGGCCUUCGGGUUGUAAAGCCCUUUUGUUGGUAAAGAAAAGCAGCAGGUUAAUACCCCGCUGUUCUGACGGUACCCAAAGAAUAAGCACCGGCUAACUUCGUG